This 472-nucleotide long non-coding RNA is filed under the name Drosophila guanche. Lineage: Eukaryota; Metazoa; Arthropoda; Insecta; Diptera; Drosophilidae. The record is from RNAcentral.
GGCAUCGUAAAACGUUAAUAAUAACAAAAGGCAGCAACAAAAGCGUGUGACAGGGAUGGCAACAACCUGUUUCCAAGCAGCUUCUGCUUCUGCUUUUGUUAAUGUUUUUUUCACUCUUCUCUGAUUUUCGCUUGGCUGAGUUGCCAUUUGAUUUCGGUGCGUUUUUUGAAGGUCAACUUUUGGUUUAUUUAUUUUAAUUUUUUUUGUGUGCGCUUCCUCCCCACACACCGUUCGAAACGCUCUGCCAGUGUGUGUGGGGUUUAAUGAGCCAUUUGCAUGGAAUGAAGAGGGUUUAACGGUUUAAGCCCAGAAAUAUCUGCAUACAAAAAAUGUGUACCCAUCAGCCCAUGCGCUCGAAGCGGAUCGGAUGGCUCUCCAAAAGUACAAAAACAUGUCCAACAAAUGCCGCUACAAGCAACAGAACAGGAAAAUAUUGAAACAUGGAAUGGGCAGGGCUGAGGGAAUAAUAAAU